This 490-nucleotide ribosomal RNA is filed under the name uncultured bacterium. Its description in RNAcentral is "partial 16S ribosomal RNA". It matches the Rfam family "Bacterial small subunit ribosomal RNA", at positions 30 to 507 of the family's 1533-position model. The record is from RNAcentral.
AUUGAACGCUGGCGGCAGGCCUAACACAUGCAAGUCGAACGGUAACAGGAAGAAGCUUGCUUCUUUGCUGUCGAGUGGCGGACGUGUGUGUAAUGUCUGGGAAACUGCUUGAUGGAGGGGGAUAACUACUGGAAACGGUAGCUAAUACCGCAUAACUUCGCAAGACCAAAGAGGGGGACCUUCGGGCCUCUUGCCAUCGGCUUUGCCCAGAUGGGAUUAGCUAGUAGGUGGGGUAACGGCUUACCUAGGCGACGAUCCCUAGCUGGUCUGAGAGGAUGACCGGCCACACUGGAACUGAGACACGGUCCAGACUCCUACGGGAGGCAGCAGUGGGGAAUAUUGCACAAUGGGCGAAAGCCUGAUGCAGCCAUGCCGCGUGUAUGAAGAAGGCCUUCGGGUUGUAAAGUACUUUCAGCGGGGAGGAAGGGAGUAAAGUUAAUACCUGUGCUCAUUGACGGUACCCGAAGAAGAAGCACCGGCUAACUCCGUG